This 459-nucleotide ribosomal RNA is filed under the name uncultured bacterium. Its description in RNAcentral is "partial 16S ribosomal RNA". It matches the Rfam family "Bacterial small subunit ribosomal RNA", at positions 338 to 795 of the family's 1533-position model. The record is from RNAcentral.
CCUACGGGAGGCAGCAGUGAGGAAUAUUGGUCAAUGGCCGAGAGGCUGAACCAGCCAAGUCGCGUGAGGGAUGACGGCCCUACGGGUUGUAAACCUCUGUUGUCGGGGAGCAAAGAGAGUCACGUGUGGCUCAUUGAGAGUACCCGAAGAAAAAGCAUCGGCUAACUCCGUGCCAGCAGCCGCGGUAAUACGGAGGAUGCGAGCGUUAUCCGGAUUUGUUGGGGGUAAAGGGUGCGUAGGCGGAAUAGCAAGUCAGCGGGAAAAAUUCGGGGCUCAACCUCGUCGUGCCGGUGAAACUGAUGUUCUUGAUUGGGCGAGAAGUAUGCGGCAUGCGUGGUGUAGCGGUGAAAUGCAUAGAUAUCACGCAGAACUCCGAUUGCGAAGGCAGCAUACCGGCGCCCAACUGACGCUGAAGCACGAAAGCGUGUGUAUCGAACAGGAUUAGAUACCCUUGUAGUC